This 494-nucleotide ribosomal RNA is filed under the name uncultured bacterium. Its description in RNAcentral is "partial 16S ribosomal RNA". It matches the Rfam family "Bacterial small subunit ribosomal RNA", at positions 28 to 507 of the family's 1533-position model. The record is from RNAcentral.
GACGAACGCUGGCGGCGUGCUUAACACAUGCAAGUCGAACGGUGAAGCGCCUUCCUUUUUGGUGGGUGUGGAUGAGUGGCGAACUGGUGAGUAACACGUUAGUAACCUGCCCCCUUCUUCUGGAUAACCGCAUGAAAGUGUUGCUAAUACGGGAUAUUCUGGGUCUGUCGCAUGAUGGGUCUGGGACAGAUAUUGUGUCGGUGGGGGAUGGGCUCGCGGCCUAUCAGCUUGUUGGUGGGGUGAUGGCCUACCAAGGCGGUGACGGGUAGCCGGCCUGAGAGGGUGGACGGCAACACUGGGAAGGAGACACGGCCCAGACUCCGACGGGAAGCAGCAGGGGAGAAUAUGGCACAAUGGGCGCAAGCAUGGUGCAGCGCCGCCGCGGGAGGGAUGGAGUCCUGCGGGUUGUGAACCUCUUUCGCGAGUGAAGCAGGCCUGCCUCGUCUGUGGGUGGGUUGACGGUAGCUGGAGAAGAAGCGCCGGCUAACUACGUG